Molecule: non-coding RNA, 645 nt
Organism: Pelodiscus sinensis (Chinese soft-shelled turtle)
Lineage: Eukaryota; Metazoa; Chordata; Testudines; Trionychidae
Source: RefSeq, a predicted model, not a curated record
GGCACUCGUCCCGCAGCGCCUCGAAGUCCUGGCUGAGAUGUGGCGGCUUCACUGUGGCAUCCCUUCCCCACUGUGGAGAGGCGAUACUGGAGACUCGACACCAAUUCCGACUGGUGGGACCGGCUGGUCCUGGAGCAAUGUGAUGACUAGCAGUGACUCCACAACUUCAGGAUGCGGAAGUAGAUGUUCCUGGAAUUGUGUGGCUGGCUCACCUCUGCGCUCCUCAUAGGCAACACCCUGCUGCGGCCCACCAUCCCUAUGAACAAGAGGGUCGCCAUCGUCAUGUGGAAGCUCGUCACCCCAGACAGCUACCACUCAGCGGCACACCAGUUCGGGGUGGGCAGGUCCACAGUGGGUGCCGUCUUGAUGCAGGGUGUCUGAGCCAUCAAUGACAUCCUCCUCAAGAGGGUCAUCCGCCUGCGGGACGUGGACGCAACCAUGACUGGCUUCACUGCCCUGGAGUUCUCAAACUGCGGGGAAGCCAUGAAUGGGCUUCCCAUCCGGGCACUGGAGCAUUGAGCAGCCCACUUCAUCAAUCGGAAGGGGUACUUUUCAAUGGUGCUCCAGGCCCUUGUGGACCAUCGUGCCCACUUCAUGGACAUCUAUGUGGGGUGGUUGGGUAGGGUACAUGAUGCCUGCAUCCUC